RNAcentral lists this ribosomal RNA (484 nucleotides) under uncultured bacterium. RNAcentral describes it as "partial 16S ribosomal RNA". It matches the Rfam family "Bacterial small subunit ribosomal RNA", at positions 28 to 507 of the family's 1533-position model. The record is from RNAcentral.
GACGAACGCUGGCGGCGUGCUUAACACAUGCAAGUCGUACGGUAAGGCCCUUUCGGGGGUACACGAGUGGCGAACGGGUGAGUAACACGUGAGUAACCUGCCCACAACUUUGGGAUAACGCUAGGAAACUGGUGCUAAUACUGGAUAUGUGCUCCUGCUGCAUGGUGGGGGUUGGAAAGCUCCGGCGGUUGUGGAUGGACUCGCGGCCUAUCAGCUUGUUGGUGGGGUAGUGGCCUACCAAGGCGGCGACGGGUAGCCGGCCUGAGAGGGUGACCGGCCACAUUGGGACUGAGAUACGGCCCAGACUCCUACGGGAGGCAGCAGUAGGGAAUCUUCCGCAAAGGGCGAAAGCCUGACGGAGCAACGCCGCGUGAGUGAUGAAGGUCUUCGGAUCGUAAAACUCUGUUAUUAGGGAAGAACAAAUGUGUAAGUAACUAUGCACGUCUUGACGGUACCUAAUCAGAAAGCCACGGCUAACUACGUG